CACCUCCCUUGGCACUUCAGCCAAUCCUUGCAGCCAGAGCCUUCAGUGCCGGAUAUCUAACCUUAGACAAUCUCAAUAGAAGAAACCCAGGACUUUGCCUCCUACGUUCUUACGCCUGGCCUCAUCGUGAUCCAUAAUACCAGCUGAGGUCGUCAAUACAAUGUAACCGAACUGCCCCAAAAAAAUCACAAGUCCAUGAGAAGAUAUGCUCUUCCAAUUCGUGGGUUCAUUGACUUGUUGCCAAGACAAUAAUGUGAAUGCCAAAUACAGAAAAUAUGAAACUUCGACAGGUUCGUGUGGACAUUGUAGACAACAAUCUCAUUGUGAUCCAAGAUUUAGGAUAAACCAAACCGCAAGAAUGAGAGAAACUAGACGCGCAAAAAUCAGCCGACAAAAACUAGUCUACACUUGAGUAUCAGAAUAUGGAAGAAUAUAUGAAAAACAUUAAACUAAGAGUGCCAUGAAAUGCAUCCAAAAACGAGAUCUAACCCCUACGUACAUUUGUCUGCAAAAGUGGAAAACUAAGUACGCAGCAGAAUAUUUCAGCAUGUGAAACUGUAAUUUGAAGGUGACCUAAAAUCUUUGUAAAAUUGCGCAUUCAAUGAUCAAAAUUGCUUGACAAACACAAACCUGACGAGAUGGUAGGAGCCGGGCAGUCCAAGCUUCGAGCUCACCAACUCCAACGUUGUAACGAGGACUGAUGACACCGCACUUGUUCAAUCUUCCAUUGAGCUCUACCACAAUCUUGCCAGCUCGGUGGUCAUCAACAAGCUCAAACUCUCCAAUAUAACCUGAAAAGAGCCAAAAGAGAGAAAACGAUCCGCUAUCAAUGCUGCAACUUAGACGCGAAGAUAAAUAGUUUAUUUUCGUAGAUGAGAGAGAGAGAGAGAGUCCAUUUUCCAUUUGUCGCACUAAAAUUGCAAACACUUUGGUGAUUCUGAUCCAUCGAAAUAGUUCGACCAGACGCACUGCCUAGCUCCAAUGGCAUACACACAUACGGAGCUGAAUAGGCUAAGGUUUCCGAAGAACUAAAUGAAACGGAGAUAAAUAAACAAAUGUAUCAACGUCACCUGAAAGGAGCACAACGAGAAACCCUAAGCCCUAAACCUGAGAACCCGUAAUGCCCAACACUCGUAAUACUCCGAGCACUGUCAUCCACUGACCCAGUACAAGGCACGCCUGCACGAGUAAGGGGGUUUAGAUUAUAACCACAUACCGUGCUUCUGCAUCACGGACAGGAACUUGAUGACGACCUUGGAGGAGGGGCGGAUGAGCACUUGGCGCUUGCCGCGCUUCUCCGCGUUGAACAUGUUCUUCAACGCAUCGUUGAGAACGCUAAUUCUAACCAUGAUGGGCGGACUGUGCCAGACAACCAACACCGGCAGGCAGGGCAGGACGGGUGGGGGGG
Molecule: long non-coding RNA, 1408 nt
Filed under: Physcomitrium patens
Lineage: Eukaryota; Viridiplantae; Streptophyta; Bryopsida; Funariales; Funariaceae
Description: long non-coding RNA (PPAT_LNC001510)
Source: RNAcentral